RNAcentral lists this ribosomal RNA (253 nucleotides) under uncultured bacterium. RNAcentral describes it as "partial 16S ribosomal RNA". It matches the Rfam family "Bacterial small subunit ribosomal RNA", at positions 524 to 776 of the family's 1533-position model. The record is from RNAcentral.
UACAGAGGGUGCAAGCGUUAAUCGGAAUUACUGGGCGUAAAGCGUGCGUAGACGGUUAUGUAAGUCGGGUGUGAAAGCCCCGGGCUCAACCUGGGAAUGCCAUUCGAGACUGCAUAGCUAGGGUGCGGAAGAGGGAAGCGGAAUUUCCGGUGUAGCGGUGAAAUGCGUAGAUAUCGGAAGGAACGUCAAUGGCGAAGGCAGCCACCUGGCUUAAUACUGACGCUGAGGCGCGAAAGCGUGAGGAGCGAACAGG